AUCGCGUUCCGUCCGCACGCCAGUGUUCAGCAGCGAUCAGACUCCAGUGGAUCCGAGUGCGAGCAUUCAACGCAGAGACACACGGUUCGGAUAACACACCAGAUUCAACAAAACACCGUUUAUGGUUGUAACUGAAGAUUUCACAAUGUCUCGUACCGACGAGGUCCAACGCAUUACGGAAAAUGUCUAUAAGAACAUCAUGGAACAGUUCAACCCCUGUUUGAGGAAUUUCAUCGCGAUGGGGAAGAACUAUGAGAAGGCGCUCUCCAGUGUGACGUUCGCAGCAAAAGGCUAUUUUGAUGCGCUGGUGAGAAUGGGCGAGCUGGCCAGUGAAAGUCAGGGAUCAAAAGACUUGGGCGACGUGCUUUUCCAGAUGGCAGAGGUCCACCGGCAAAUUCAAGUGCAGUUAGAGGAAAUGCUGAAAUGCUUUCACAAUGAGUUGCUGUCAGAGCUGGAGAAGAAGGUGGAUCUGGACGCCAGAUACCUGACUGCGGCUCUUAAGAAGUACCAGAUGGAGCACAAAAGCAAAGGAGAGAGCCUGGAGAAAUGCCAGGGCGAGCUGAAGAAAUUGCGGAGGAAGAGCCAGGGCAGCAAAAACCCCUCCAAGUACGGAGAGAAGGAGAUGCAGUAUGUUGAGACCAUUAGCUGUAAACAAAGCGAGUUGGAAACCUUCAUCGCAGAGGGCUACAAGACGGCGCUCUCGGAAGAACGCAGGAGAUACUGUUUCCUGGUGGACCGUCAGUGUGCUGUGGCCAAAAACAGCAGCGCCUACCAUGGCAAGGGUAAGGACUUGCUAACCCAGAAGAUCCCAGUAUGGCAGCAGGCCUGCUCAGAUCCUAACAAGCUGCCUGAAAGGGCCAUGUUGCUCGCCCAGCAGAUGACCUCAGGUUCGAGCACUCUCAUCUCCAGCCCUCUGCACUCCUCCAAGGGCAACCUGGUCAUCUCAGAUCCCAUCCCUGGAGCACAACCACUGCCCGUGCCUCCAGAACUAGCUGCCUUCAUGGGAAGUGGCUUGGGCCACCAGGGGCGUCUAAUGGGUCCUGAUGGCAUGUCUCUGGUGAACGGGACGACGGGGGUCCACGGGGAGGAGUACUGGACGGACGGUGGAGUCUCUCAGGGAAGACCGCCUUCCCCUCAGAGUCAGUCUCAAACCCAAAGCCAGCCCCAGAGACAGGUCAGCGACGUCUACUCCAACACCCUACCUGUCCGCAGACCCCAGCCGGCUAAGAACAAGACCUCUGUGGGAGAGACACGGACUCUGCCCCGGUCAAGUUCAAUGGCAGCGGGUCUGGAGAAGAACGGGCGCGCUCGUGUCCAAGCCAUUUUCUCCCACGCAGCUGGAGACAACAGCACCCUGCUCAGCUUCACUGAGGGAGACAUCAUAACCCUGCUCGUGCCGGAGGCUAGAGACGGCUGGCACUAUGGAGAAAACGAGAAGAAUAAGAUGCGUGGCUGGUUUCCUUUCUCCUACACUCGAGUGCUGCCUGACAGCGACAGUGAGAAGUUAAAAGUCAAUCUUCAUCAUGGGAAAAGCAGCAGCACAGGGAACCUGCUGGAGAGAGAGGACAUGUCUUUGCCCAUGCCCGACUAUGGUUUGACUGCCCGACUUUUGGCGCAGAGCCUAACACAGACUCGGCCACGCCCCUACAGCAUGGCUGGCUUUGCACAGCCAGCGCUAGAGGAUUAUGACAAUCACUUUGCCGCAAGGUCAGGAGAAGAGCUGUUCAUAGUCUGUGUGCCCUGCAAUUCACUCUCCCUAGCUGUCUCUAGAUGAAGUAAAACAAUUUGGGUCCUGAAUUGUCCCGGUUCUGAGUGUUGCAGGACCUCCGUAAGUCACCUGCCUCCAUCGCUGCUAAACCAACCGAUCAUGCAAUUUUUUUUGGUUUUGUUGUUCUCUGCAUUUGCUGUCGGGCUUAAACACGGGCACUAGGGCUUCACAACUGUUUCGUCUCAUGCCGCCACCCGCCUCUCUGGUUGGUUGCAUUUUUUUUCUGUGUGCCUUGUAAUUCGUACCAGCCAGAGAGGUCGUAGGUUGCCAGGAAAUGGGGUUUUCAUGGAGGCAAUGUGUUGGCACUGGAGUGAUCGUUCCAUGGAGGUCUACUUCAGGCCAAGCAUCAUGGACGGCCGAUCCGCUCCUCUGUACUACUAGAGGAGCCCGUGCUGUGGCCUGUGCAGUAUAUCGCCCUCUUCAGUAUAUCGCCCUCUUCUGUUCUGUUUGUGUCAUUGCAACAGCAUGCAGCACACACGUGUACUUACAGUACCUACAGGGUCCGAGCGUUGAGGAUACACCGUAAAUUUCCUAUGAAAUGGAUUAAUCGUAACACUUUAGCUUCGUGAUAAUUGGGAUUUACAGCAUCUUUCAUUGUUUUCAUGUUUCAAACUGAUGAUAGAGGAUCAAGAGUAAUGUAAAUGUUACAACUAAGUAGUUAGCAGAUACUAUUUCAAUAAGUUGCAUAUCUUAGGUAAGAAGGCUUUAUUUUUCUGUGUUUUAUCUGUGUGAUCUACAGUAGUAUGUCUGUGUAUCAUCACUCAUUUCUGUAUGCUGUCCGCAACGGUGUUGGGAUGAAACCUCUUCCAAGGGGUCGCUUUAUAAUAAAUUUUUUUAUUUGUUUAAUUUGCUUCUGCAAAUGAAAGAGAUCUGUAUUAGUCGCAAUAUAUUCACAUGCAAGCAGCGCUGACACAUGGACUGUGCCUUUUCCAGCUGUUUGUAUUAUGAAAUCUGUAACUCCAUUGGCCUACAUUAUAUAUGGGGAAUUGUUUUGUGUUUUUUGAUUUUUUUUUCUUUUUUUAAUUUCAGCAACUGUUUUAGAUCUUCGCUAGUUGCUUUAAUAAGAUCUGUUGAGAAUAUAAAUCUUCUUGGUGAUCUUUUGUUCACAUACUGGGCAAUAUUGCUUAUUCAGUAUAUAUACAAAUAGACUACUACACAAAAAUGAAUAUUGUAAAUAUGUUUUUGUUUGUUUUGAGGGACUGAGAGCAGAUCUGUUGUAAGUCCUUGUAAAUAUAAUCUCCGUUUAGUUCAACUUUCUUUUUUGCCACAGGGGGAAAAUCUCUUAAUAUGAAUAGCAUGUUUUUAUAAUGGGGAAUCUACUGUGAUGUUUGUGUGGAAGAUGGGAAACUUGAUUUGAUUGUUUGAUGGAGAGAUUUAUUUGGGGUCUGAUCAGCUUUAAAACCCAAUUUCUAAUGCUUUACUCUUAUUUUGGCAUUUCUAAAUGUCCUGUUCAUUCUUAUUUAUGGAAAAAUGCAAAUGUUUGUGCUCAUUCUUGUAUCAAAUAAAAAAUCAACAAAAAGUG
Molecule: non-coding RNA, 3290 nt
Organism: Misgurnus anguillicaudatus (oriental weatherfish)
Lineage: Eukaryota; Metazoa; Chordata; Actinopteri; Cypriniformes; Cobitidae
Source: RefSeq, a predicted model, not a curated record